UCUCUUUCUCCUUUUGCUCAAUUCCCAGCUGCUCUGCAGCCUGAACUUCUGCCUACCCAUCUCCAACGCCCCGUGGCAGCUCCCAUCUGGGCUACAGCAGUGCCUGUCGAGGCAGGUUGUGAUCCAAGCCCCUACGCCUUCCAGAAGCCCUUCCCCUCUCUGACGACGGGCCGGUGUCCUCCGUAAGCGGACCGGUUCGGGUGCCCGACACACCUAGAUUCUGGUUUGAGCUGUUAUAGUUGCUGGCUGUGCGGUCUCCAGGAACUUCUCCCACCCCCUUGGACCCGGGUUGCCUUUUCUGUGAAGUGGGACUGGGAAUCUCUGUUCUGCCUACCUUCUAGGGUUAUUUUGAAGAGGAGAAAAAGACGCUACACAUUCAUCGCAUCAUUUACGAAACGGAGAUUGAUCAUUCAGCCGUGUGCCAGCCGCUGGAGAUGAAAGGCCGUCGUUCAACUGUAACGUGUUAUACAAAUAGGACGCUCUCCUCCGAUGCGGAAAAUUCACGACCCGCUGGGUCAGACUGGGUGUGUUUGCUCUGCUUCCCUCACCUGUCUUCUCUCCCGGUUAAGAGUGACCGCUAGCUACCCGAGUACUGCCCGCUCACAAACAUUCAGGGCAAAGCUAGCUCUAGUAAGAGAACUUCGUAAAUGGAAAACAUCAGCUGGCAUUAGAAAGAUCUACGGUGACGAAACCUCUGUGUGUUUGGAAGCCUCACUAAUCUUGCACCAGAAGGCCGUCCGUGAGGGGAUGGUCAGUGACAUUUUUCCUAUUUGCUGCAGCAUUGACAAGCAGGGCCCCAGACCGAGGACAAAGAGGAGAGCAUCACAAAUUGGCCAAUGUUGGACAACGGAGUAACAGGAGCAAAGCAUCACUCCAGGUGGGCAGGCAGGAAACAGCUGGCUGGGAAAGGUGCCCAUGACCCAUUGCCCCAGUCCACCCUUGGCCUGGAAGAAGUCAGACCGGAAGUGGCCAGGGAACUUGCAAGACCUGCAAAGAGCCGGUGUUAAAGAGCCAGGUACCUUUUUGGAAAGACUGAGUUAUGAAAAGAGACCAGAGGAAUAUUAAAAUCCCUUUUAACGCGACGUUCUAUGCCACGGCUAAUAUGACAGCAGCCGUGACCCAACCAUGGAAAACUAUCACCAAGUUCAAAACCAAUUUAAUAAUAAGAGACAUUGCAAUUUUCUGACCGCUAGAGGGCAGGCCUGGCCACACCUUGAGGAAGAUCCAUCCUCCAGUGUAGUUGUGUCAAACGAGUUACACCGGAGUUCAUUUAAACUGUUGCAAAGAGUGUGAAAAGGAAAAAUUGGGAUGCGCACGGAGCUUGCAUCACCUGGCCGGCAGGACAUGCUCAUCUGUAAGGUGGAAUCCAUGGUUCUUUCUCCUGCCGUCCGUAUCCACCCUAGUCAGGAGCUCACUUCUGUCAGAACCCCCAGUCGUCUAUGUUUGCGAAUGAUUAAACCACAGCCCGAUGUUCAGUUGACUGCGCGGUCUUCCAGUUAGCGUACAGAAAGGUGAAAUGGCUUGUCCAGAGCGACGGCCACCUGGCUUCUAAACGGUGAAGACCUGACGUGGGGGCCCUGGUCUCCAGGCCUGCAGGCCUCCUGGGCCUCCUGCAGGCCUCUCCCACAGGGCAAGCACUUGCUGCUGCUACUUUGUUUUCAACACCCCGACCACGGGUGAACCAAGACCAGAAGGUAAUCGAGCACAGUCCUCCUCGGCACUAGCGAUCGGUAGCCCUGUGGCAUUCUGAAGCAUUUGGGACUGAGUCUUCUGUGGCCCAGGGACAAGUCUCUCUACAACAAAGAUGUUAGACACGUGCCUUUGCUGACAGCAGUGUUCCAUUUGUUUCUUCGAACGAGUCUUGCUGCUGAGGGUACCAUCUGCCGGCCUGAACUUCCAGCCUGUUGCUCACCAACUUCCUCCUUACGUCGCUCACGGUAAGUCACCGGAGAAUUCGAGCCCUGUUGUUCCUCCUUGAGCUGUGCCCUUGGCCUCAGCACUUUGAUGAAGCGUUUUAACCCUACAUGCGAGACCCCCUCGUUGUACUCAGGGAAGCCCUGUCCGUGAAAUAAUCCAAACCCUGUCAAAGGCUUCAGAUUGGGAUAUAAAGUGCUCUGUCAGUAACGCAACCUGGGAGCAUCUUUCAAAGGACUGCGUCCUCACAGAGACAUUUGAUUUUAGUUUUCAUGUAGGUUUCAUUUAGACUAUCCCAGCUAAUCACCAUUCCUCCCUGGGGAAUAGGUUGGCUUGAAUAUCGCUGUUGGGAUGCCACAGACCAGAUCCCCACCGACAGGCAGGGGGCAGGCCUCAUGGUUCCUUCAGCAGGAGAUGUAAACAUGGGUGGUAGCCAGUGUGGUUCAGUCCACUGUGGACUGAAGUCUUCAGCGCCCUCCACACAUCCCUGAUGACUAGAAAAACACAUGUGGAGAAUUAUGCUUUUUACCACUGGCGUUGCCUGGUUUAUAGCUUGGCAUGGCGGGAGGGGUGCAUUCUCAUUGUGAUACAACCUGGUGGAGAAAUGAAUCGAGCCUUGGAUUAGGGAAAGAGGUAGCUCUGUUUCCUCCUUUCUCGGGGGCUGAAGGGGGUAAGAGCUUGGACUCAAGGUGUACAGAGAAAAAUCGAACAAGGCUCUAUCGGGGGACUGAGCCAGCCCUUGAACUAUAGCGUGUAGGAGGGAAGGGAAAACAAUCCUACAUCUAUGGAUCCUAGGAAUUGUGCUAUCUGAUAUCUAGUUUAAAAUGUUCUUUCUUCCCUUGCAUCCCAUUCAAGAUGUCAGUAGUGUUUUAUCAGACAUCAGAGCUGGCACGCCCUGGACUGCAGAGAAUCAAGACAGGACCUGUGUCCUCUUGGCAUGGGCUACCCUGAGACAUGGGCCACAUCCCUGGGGUUGUUUCUUCUGAGAAACUCGCAUAGCGAGAGCUUGCAAAACAGUUGUGUGAUGGCGAGAGGUGACCAGCAGAGGACCCAAGCAGUGGUCCAGAGUGAGAGCUAGUAAAUGAGGACCAAGGUAGAUUUGUUACAACGCAGAAAUAUUCCCUGAAGAUUCGCAGGAGUGAUAAGGUGGAGGAGUCUCCCAAUAAAAGAUAUUUGAUAAUACAUAAGUAAAAUAUAGUAUAGGAGCUCGGGCAAAAUUAGUUGGGUAUUAAGCGGAAGGGGCUCCCUUGAACACUAAAGAGCCUUGAGAAAUUAAAGGUCCGUAUUGUUCACUUCCUUCUGUUUGGUUGCCCAUGGUUUUACAUCUCCUAAAAUAAACUCAACUGAAGAAGGUUGAGAUCACCUUUGUUAGGACGUUCAAAGAGGCGCCCCGGGGUGGCUCAGUGGGUUGUCUGACUCUUGAUUUUGGCUCAGGUCAUGAUCUCGCAGUUGUGGGACUGAGCCUCCCAU
Felis catus (domestic cat) is the source of this 3384-nucleotide long non-coding RNA. RefSeq lists it as uncharacterized. The transcript is spliced from 3 exons. The record is from RefSeq and is a predicted model, not a curated record. Lineage: Eukaryota; Metazoa; Chordata; Mammalia; Carnivora; Felidae.